RNAcentral lists this long non-coding RNA (481 nucleotides) under Homo sapiens (human). RNAcentral's name for it is "HSALNT0325916". Lineage: Eukaryota; Metazoa; Chordata; Mammalia; Primates; Hominidae. The record is from RNAcentral.
UUAUCAUUUACUGCCUUUUGGUAAUUUGUAUUUUUCCUGUGAAUUACCUGUUCGUGUUCUUUAUUCAUUUUUCUGAAGGGCAUUGAUCUUUUUAUGUACUGAUUCACGAGGACUUAAGCCUAUGAUGCAGUUGUUUUCCCAGUCUUGGGAGCUGGCAGAUGCCAUUACCCAGGUCAGGAGAUAGAACCUUGCCAGCUAUACCCUGAAGCUGUUCAAGUCUUUCUCCCAAUUACAGUCUUCAUAAGAGUUGUUAGAAGGACUGAAUGAGAUGAAGUAGAGGAAAGUCUUCUAGGACAGGGGUCCUCAACCCUUGGGCCACAGACUGGUGGCAGGAGGGCUGCACAGCAGGUGAGCAGUGGGUGAGUGAGCAAAGCUUCCUCUGUUCACAGCCUCUCACCGUCACUCACACUACCACCUGAGCUCUGCCUCCUGUCAGAUCAGCAGCAGCAUUAGAUUCUCACGUGAGUGUGAACCCUAUUGU